UCUACGGGGAAAAUUAAUUGUUUCUAUUUAUUCUAUCCUAGUUACAAUAAUCCUUAACUUUAAGUAUUGUACCUCCCUUUUUCUUAGUACUUAGAGUAGAAAACCAGAGAAGCAAAUCCAUUUAUUUUACUAGAAAGAAAAUUCUUACUUGUUUUAUCUAGAACCAUGAAAAAGAAGUGGUAUCACAAAUCUGCUUAGUUUUUUUGGACUUGAAGCGUAGAGUCGAAGGCUUUUGAGAUUCCACAAUGCUUGGGAGAAAAUGUGGAUGUCUCCAGGGAGGCCAUACCUAAUGAGGAGCUCCCAACAAAUGGCAACUGAUGUUACCUACAACCGAAUACGUCAAGAAGGAGCUUUGCCCAUGCGUUCUGCCACCUUCUGCCAGGAAUUACACCUGUCCCAUCCCGUCGUCUCCUGAAUGUCCAGAGACAGGGGUCUCCCCGUGUUGUCCAGAACGGUCUUGAACUCCUGGUCUUCAAGCAAUCUUCCUGCCUUGGUCUCUCAAAGUGCUGGGAUUACAAGUGUGAGCCACCAUACCCGGUCAUAGCGCUCUUAUAAAAUGCAUCAUCACAUUUAUUUUAUAAAUUCAGAAACAAAAGUCUGUAUAGAGAAGUUUUGAAGUUACUAGGGACCUGAAAAUCAUACUGAAGAUGUCUGCAACUAAAAACUCGAAGAGUUCCGAGGCUAGAGGGGUCAGGAGAUGAAUAAAAACGUUAGCCCCAGCUGAUCACAAUGAGGUUAAUCACAAUACUAAUUAAAAAUACUACAGAUCCUAGGACAAUGGUCAGAAGAGUGACUAUACUUUCCUGUUUGCCCUUGGAAAAUCGAGGGCUGACUUUUCUACGUGCUCAGAUAACCUAAAUUGAUAGAGAGAAAGCUAGCAGAGGAUAAGAUAAACUAGUUAACUGUAAAUAAGAUUUUGCUGUUGGAGAAUCUUCUUGUUGCUCUGGUUUUAGAUAGCGGAGGAAGCCAAAAAAUAUCUGCUUUAAGUUACCAGGAGUUGAAGUUCAUCCCUGCUGAAGUUAACAGGUUGCUUCCCUUUUUCUGGUGUAUUCUUACUUUACUGGCAAAGAGAAAAUAAAUUAAUACCUUAUUGU
This 1094-nucleotide long non-coding RNA is filed under the name Homo sapiens (human). Its description in RNAcentral is "HSALNT0369676". The record is from RNAcentral. Lineage: Eukaryota; Metazoa; Chordata; Mammalia; Primates; Hominidae.